Molecule: ribosomal RNA, 233 nt
Filed under: uncultured bacterium
Lineage: Bacteria
Description: partial 16S ribosomal RNA
Rfam family: Bacterial small subunit ribosomal RNA
Source: RNAcentral
UGAGUAACCUGCCCUUAACUCUGGGAUAAGCCUGGGAAACUGGGUCUAAUACCGGAUAUGACUCCUCAUCGCAUGGUGGGGGGUGGAAAGCUUUAUUGUGGUUUUGGAUGGACUCGCGGCCUAUCAGCUUGUUGGUGAGGUAAUGGCUCACCAGGGCGACGACGGGUAGCCGGCCUGAGAGGGUGACCGGCCACACUGGGACUGAGACACGGCCCAGACUCCUACGGGAGCAG